GACGAACGCUGGCGGCGUGCUUAACACAUGCAAGUCGAACGGAAAGGCCCUGCUUUUGUGGGGUGCUCGAGUGGCGAACGGGUGAGUAACACGUGAGUAACCUGCACUUGACUUUGGGAUAACUUCAGGAAACUGGGGCUAAUAUCGGAUAGGAUCUCCUGCUGCAUGGUGGGGGUUGGAAAGUUUCGGCGGUUGUGGAUGGACUCGCGGCUUACCAGCUUGUUGGUGGGGUAGUUGCUUACCAAGGCUUUGACGGGUAGCCGGCCUGAGAGGGUGACCGGCCACAUUGCGACUGAGAUACGGCGCAGACUCCUACGGGAGGCAGCAGUGGGGAAUAUUGCACAAUGGGCGGAAGCCUGAUACAGCAACGCCGCGUGCGGGAUGACCGCCUUCGGGUUGUGAACCGCUGUCGCCUGUGACGAAGCGGGAGUGACGGUAAUGGGUAAAGAAGCACCGGCUAACUACGUG
This 468-nucleotide ribosomal RNA is filed under the name uncultured bacterium. RNAcentral's name for it is "partial 16S ribosomal RNA". It matches the Rfam family "Bacterial small subunit ribosomal RNA", at positions 28 to 507 of the family's 1533-position model. The record is from RNAcentral.